Molecule: ribosomal RNA, 514 nt
Filed under: uncultured bacterium
Lineage: Bacteria
Description: bacterial SSU rRNA
Rfam family: Bacterial small subunit ribosomal RNA
Source: RNAcentral
CUUAGCAAAGAUGCUUUGGUGCCUUCGGGAACUCUGAGACAGGUGCUGCAUGGCUGUCGUCAGCUCGUGUUGUGAAAUGUUGGGUUAAGUCCCGCAACGAGCGCAACCCUUAUCCUUUGUUGCCAGCGGUUAGGCCGGGAACUCAAAGGAGACUGCCAGUGAUAAACUGGAGGAAGGUGGGGAUGACCGUCAAGUCAUCAUGGCCCUUACGAGUAGGGCUACACACGUGCUACAAUGGCGCAUACAAAGAGAAGCGACCUCGCGAGAGCAAGCGGACCUCAUAAAGUGCGUCGUAGUCCGGAUUGGAGUCUGCAACUCGACUCCAUGAAGUCGGAAUCGCUAGUAAUCGUGGAUCAGAAUGCCACGGUGAAUACGUUCCCGGGCCUUGUACACACCGCCCGUCACACCAUGGGAGUGGGUUGCAAAAGAAGUAGGUAGCUUAACCUUCGGGAGGGCGCUUACCACUUUGUGAUUCAUGACUGGGGUGAAGUCGUAACAAGGUAGGCGUAGUGCU